CACGGAUCGAUUUUCACUACAACUGAUUUUUAUGAACUUGAUAGUUGCUCCUAAAUGCAUAGACGUCCGACCUCUACGAGUAUCCACAAGAAGCUCCAAUCCGAUUAUAAAGAACUCUUCGGGGUGCUAGCUCUUUUGCAGAGUUCCUUCUUAAUGGCUAAUCUAAGAGGAAGAAGAAAUAGGUGGAAGAAGGAGAAGAGGAACCCUUUCACUCUUUCUAUUUUUCUCUCUUCCAAAACCC
This 241-nucleotide long non-coding RNA is filed under the name Elaeis guineensis (African oil palm). RNAcentral describes it as "long non-coding RNA (EGUI_LNC009000)". The record is from RNAcentral. Lineage: Eukaryota; Viridiplantae; Streptophyta; Magnoliopsida; Arecales; Arecaceae.